This 253-nucleotide ribosomal RNA is filed under the name uncultured bacterium. Its description in RNAcentral is "partial 16S ribosomal RNA". It matches the Rfam family "Bacterial small subunit ribosomal RNA", at positions 524 to 776 of the family's 1533-position model. The record is from RNAcentral.
UACGUAGGGUGCGAGCGUUAAUCGGAAUUACUGGGCGUAAAGCGUGCGUAGGCGGUUCGUUAAGUUCGUUGUGAAAGCCCCGGGCUCAACCUGGGAAUGGCAAUGGAAACUGGCGGGCUGGAGUAUGGCAGAGGGGGGUGGAAUUCCGCGUGUAGCAGUGAAAUGCGUAGAGAUGCGGAGGAACACCGAUGGCGAAGGCAGCCCCCUGGGCCAAUACUGACGCUCAGACACGAAAGCGUGGGGAGCAAACAGG